RNAcentral lists this RNase P RNA (349 nucleotides) under Betaproteobacteria bacterium HGW-Betaproteobacteria-3. RNAcentral describes it as "RNase P RNA component class A". It matches the Rfam family "Bacterial RNase P class A". From Rfam's summary of the family: Ribonuclease P (RNase P) is a ubiquitous endoribonuclease, found in archaea, bacteria and eukarya as well as chloroplasts and mitochondria. Its best characterised activity is the generation of mature 5'-ends of tRNAs by cleaving the 5'-leader elements of precursor-tRNAs. Lineage: Bacteria; Pseudomonadati; Pseudomonadota; Betaproteobacteria. The record is from RNAcentral.
GAAGUCCGCUGGACCGCCGCUGGUGCAAUCUGGGAAACCAGGCACUGGAGGAACGUCCGGACUGCAAAGGGCAGCGUAGGAGGUAACACCUCUCCACCGUGAGGUGAGGAUCAGAGCAACAGAGACGAGCCGGUUCAGUCCGGGUGAAACGGGCAAUCUCUACGCGCAGCAAUACCAAAUAGGCACACGCUGAGCAGCGCAGUUCGCUGCGACGCUCUACCCGGGGCCCCCGGGCUGUGUGCGGGUAGGUAGCACCGAGCCGGGUGGGCAACCCCCGGCCCAGAGUAAUGGCGGUCACGUCACGGGCAACCGUGACGCACAGAAUCCGGCUUACAGGCGGGCUUCACAC